AGCGAACGCUGGCGGCAGGCUUAACACAUGCAAGUCGAGCGGGCAUCCUUGUGGUGUCAGCGGCAGACGGGUGAGUAACGCGUGGGAACGUGCCCUUCGGUUCGGAAUAACUCAGGGAAACUUGAGCUAAUACCGGAUACGUGCGAGAGCAGAAAGGUUUAUCUGCCGAAGGAUCGGCCCGCGUCUGAUUAGCUAGUUGGUGAGGUUACGGCUCACCAAGGCGACGAUCAGUAGCUGGUCUGAGAGGAUGAUCAGCCACACUGGGACUGAGACACGGCCCAGACUCCUACGGGAGGCAGCAGUGGGGAAUAUGGGACAAUGGGGGCAACCCUGAUCCAGCCAUGCCGCGUGAGUGAUGACGGCCUUAGGGUUGUAAAGCUCUUUUCUCCGGGACGAUAAUGACGGUACCGGAGGAAUAAGCCCGGCUAACUUCGUG
Molecule: ribosomal RNA, 436 nt
Filed under: uncultured bacterium
Lineage: Bacteria
Description: partial 16S ribosomal RNA
Rfam family: Bacterial small subunit ribosomal RNA
Source: RNAcentral